RNAcentral lists this ribosomal RNA (292 nucleotides) under uncultured bacterium. RNAcentral describes it as "partial 16S ribosomal RNA". It matches the Rfam family "Bacterial small subunit ribosomal RNA", at positions 505 to 796 of the family's 1533-position model. The record is from RNAcentral.
GUGCCAGCCGCCGCGGUAAUACGGAGGGUGCAAGCGUUAAUCGGAAUUACUGGGCGUAAAGCGUGCGUAGGCGGUUUUUUAAGUCAGAUGUGAAAGCCCUGGGCUUAACCUGGGAACUGCAUUUGAUACUGGAAGACUAGAGUUGAGUAGAGGAGAGUGGAAUUUCAGGUGUAGCGGUGAAAUGCGUAGAGAUCUGAAGGAACACCAGUGGCGAAGGCGGCUCUCUGGACUCAAACUGACGCUGAGGUACGAAAGCGUGGGUAGCAAACAGGAUUAGAAACCCCGGUAGUCC